Molecule: non-coding RNA, 25 nt
Filed under: Cricetulus griseus (Chinese hamster)
Lineage: Eukaryota; Metazoa; Chordata; Mammalia; Rodentia; Cricetidae
Source: RNAcentral
ACUUGUAGGUAAUGAAGGGACGGCC